CCCGGCGGUCAUACCGGAGGGGCCACACCCGUUCCCAUCCCGAACACGGCAGUUAAGCCCUCCAGGGCCGAUGGUACUGCACUGGUAACGGUGCGGGAGAGUAGGUCGCUGCCGGGG
This 117-nucleotide ribosomal RNA is filed under the name Candidatus Rokuibacteriota bacterium. The record is from RNAcentral. Lineage: Bacteria; Candidatus Rokuibacteriota.